AUGUACUCGAUGAACCCGCUGAAGAUGCAGGUGCGGGGGCUAUACACACAUAACUUGUUUUGCAAGUUCCAGAUGGAGAUGAAGGUGAAAUCAGCAUACAGAUGCGACGCAUUGGAUGAUGGUACUUUCAAGGUCAGCUCAGUACGCGGGAUAAUACCGAAAUAUGGAGACAUGGACUACCAUGUGCAAGCAAACAUGGUUGAAGAGACAUACUCGUGUAGUUGCUGCAAGUUUGAUCGUGACGGGCUACUGUGCGCGCACGUACUACGAGUUAUGGACCAAAUUGGGGUAUAUGAGAUACCUGAAAAGUACAUCCUAAAGAGGUGGACCUGGGAUCCAGAGGAGGAUCUUAUUCAACCUGAUUUCGAACAGCCGACAGUUAAGAAGUCGAUGCCAGAGGAGGGGAAAAGCGUCAUGCGAUACACGUCAAUUCUUAAAGAAUUUAAGGCAUCGGCCAAAGAUGCUUGCCUAACAGAUGACGGGACCAGAUUGGCAAGAAAACACCUGUAUAAUUUCAAGGAGGAGCUUGAAAUCCUGAAGAACAAUCAACUUUAA
Molecule: ribosomal RNA, 555 nt
Filed under: Triticum aestivum (bread wheat)
Lineage: Eukaryota; Viridiplantae; Streptophyta; Magnoliopsida; Poales; Poaceae
Description: partial small subunit ribosomal RNA
Source: RNAcentral